CCUACGGGAGGCUGCAGUGGGGGAUAUUGCACAAUGGGGGAAACCCUGAUGCAGCGACGCCGCGUGUGGGAAGACGGUCCUCUGGAUUGUAAACCACUGUCCCCAGGGACGAAGAUGACGGUACCUGGGGAGGAAGCUCCGGCUAACUACGUGCCAGCAGCCGCGGUAAUACGUAGGGAGCGAGCGUUGUCCGGAAUUACGGGGUGAAAGGGGAGCGUAGGCGGGACUGCAAGUUGGUUGUAAAAUCUACCGGCUCAACCGGUAGCCGCACUCAAAACUGCAGUUCUUGAGUGAAGUAGAGGCAGGCGGAAUUCCUAGUGUAGCGGUGAAAUGCGUAGAUAUUAGGAGGAACACCAGUGGCGAAGGCGGCCUGCUGGGCUUUUACUGACGCUGAGGCUCGAAAGUGUGGGGAGCAAACAGGAUUAGAUACCCGUGUAGUC
Molecule: ribosomal RNA, 440 nt
Filed under: uncultured bacterium
Lineage: Bacteria
Description: partial 16S ribosomal RNA
Rfam family: Bacterial small subunit ribosomal RNA
Source: RNAcentral